RNAcentral lists this unclassified non-coding RNA (373 nucleotides) under Athalia rosae (coleseed sawfly). RNAcentral describes it as "misc RNA ENSAEAG00005009379.1". Lineage: Eukaryota; Metazoa; Arthropoda; Insecta; Hymenoptera; Athaliidae. The record is from RNAcentral.
AAAUUUAGAUUGGAUUGAGUCCGGAUGAGAUCUUCGAAAUGUUCAAUUUGAACGGCAUUUGUCGGAAGAUUGUACUUUUCUUGAGUAGUUUUUGAUAGCCAAAUUAUCUUAUUAUUUAUCAAGCUAGCCUUCAAAUUUUUCAGCAAAUGAGGAACAUCAGCAAGAAAAUACAACUUUCUGUGGGCAUCCAUCGGAUGUGGACAGCUGUUGCUCACAUCGGUAUGACGACCUGCACUUAUAUUAAACGAUGCCCACAGUGCACGGUUUGCAGUACCCAUGUCAGAUGUAACAGCAGUCACUAUAAGCACCAUUUACCGAAUGUCCUGUAAAAUAAUAGGCAACAAUUUGCUUCCACCGUACAGUGACUCCUGCC